AGGUUUUUAUUUGCUUUUCAACAUCCAUUUCAUAGUGGUACAUGUGGCUUUGAUUAAUAUUACCAUAAAGACUGCCGAAAAUGGGUAUGGUACGGAAACCCAGAAAUUGCAUGAGUUCAACAUCAAACAUGGAUUAGAAUUUUAGCGGGGGAUCAAGUCAAGUCUGGAAGUGUUAGAGGAUGGAAGAGUGAGCCUACAGUUGAAAAAACACUGAGAGUGCAUUACCAUUAAGGUAUGAGGUAAAGUAAUAGAGUAUGCACAUUGUCAAAUGAGAAGUACCAUCUUGUGUAAAUGAAUCUUGUAUAACAGCAAUCCUUUAUAGUUCUGUCACAGCUAGAAGCCUCAAAUAAUUCUGCUUCUUGCUAAAGAACAACUUGUCCUUUACGUUCAGAGUGUUGGGGAAACUGGGUACUUAAAUGGCCCUAAAGAUGUUUUAAUUUUGCUGCUAUUGCAGAGAUGAACAUCAUACAUGGACUCUUUAGGUCUUAUCUACCAAAAAAAAUUUUAUCCAAUAGGAAAGGAUUUUCAUGUACUGGGAACACAACUGUCAACAAUGCAACAUUCUAUGGGUGCUAGUUUAUCAUUCAAGAGCCUUAUACAAUGAAGUUAAUCUGCAAUUUGUAUGUCCUUUCCCAAGCUUCCACCAGAAGUUGAAUCUAUGAGUCAUUUAAGUUCCAUGAUCAACAAUUGAUGUG
Long non-coding RNA from Daphnia carinata, 695 nucleotides. RefSeq lists it as uncharacterized. The transcript has 3 exons. Lineage: Eukaryota; Metazoa; Arthropoda; Branchiopoda; Diplostraca; Daphniidae. The record is from RefSeq and is a predicted model, not a curated record.